GGCAAGUGAGGUCAGAGUUCCCACAAGCUCAUGAUCCAAGAUGGCAGACCCCCCGACAGAGAGCAGGAGAGCACUGGAGGUCUGCAGCCCUCCGCAGUGAGGAGAAAGACGGGUCAGGGAUCUGAGGACGGAUAAUUCCUCACCCCGGAUGGUGGGAUUAAGGUCCACAUCAUGUCGCCAAGUGUCUCAAGUGUCUCCAUGAUAUAGUGGUAGAGGUGAAACCCAUGAGUGUUAGGUGCUGAGCCACACCCUCUGUACGACACUGGGAGAUUCUGGGCAGAGGCUCCACCCCUGAGCCACACCCUCUGCCCAUCACUGGGAGAUUCUGGGCAGAGGCUCCAACCCCUGAGCCACACCCUCUGCCCAUCACUGGGAGAGUCUAGGCAGAGGCUCCACACCCUGAGCCACACCCUCUGCCCAUCACUGGGAGAGUCUAGGCAGAGGCUCCACACCCUGAGUCACACCCUCUGCCCAUCACUGGGAGAUUCUGGGCAGAGGCUCCAACCCCUGAGCCACACCCUCUGCCCAUCACUGGGAGAUUCUGGGCAAAGGCUCCACCCCUGAGCCACACCCCGUAGCUUCGUUGUUUUUUUUGUUUUAAUUACCAAAGGAGAACGAAGAGUUCUGGUAAUCCAGAAACAUAUGUUCACAAGGAUCAGUCAGCCUUACCUUCCAUAACUUUGCCGACGUAUUUCUAUUUAUGGCAUCGUUUGCUGAUUAAAUACAUUUAUUUUUCCUUCUGU
This 743-nucleotide long non-coding RNA is filed under the name Rattus norvegicus (Norway rat). Its description in RNAcentral is "long non-coding RNA NONRATT011382". Lineage: Eukaryota; Metazoa; Chordata; Mammalia; Rodentia; Muridae. The record is from RNAcentral.